GAUGAAGAACGCAGCGAAAUGCGAUAAGUAAUGUGAAUUGCAGAAUUCAGUGAAUCAUCGAAUCUUUGAACGCACAUUGCGCCCCCUGGUAUUCCGGGGGGCAUGCCUGUCCGAGCGUCAUUACAACCCUCAAGCUCUGCUUGGUGUUGGGCCCCGCCGCCCCGGCGGGCCCUAAAGUCAGUGGCGGUGCCAUCCGGCUCCGAGCGUAGUAAUUCUUCUCGCUCUGGAGGUCCGGUUGUGUGCUUGCCAUCAACCCCAAUUUUUUUCAGGUUGACCUCGGAUCAGGUAGGGAUACCCGCUGAACUUAAGCAUAUCAAUAAGCGGAGGA
This 328-nucleotide unclassified non-coding RNA is filed under the name soil metagenome. RNAcentral describes it as "partial contains 5.8S ribosomal RNA, internal transcribed spacer 2, and large subunit ribosomal RNA". The stretch from base 1 to 120 matches the Rfam family "5.8S ribosomal RNA", at positions 35 to 154 of the family's 154-position model. The record is from RNAcentral.